Molecule: long non-coding RNA, 506 nt
Organism: Clupea harengus (Atlantic herring)
Lineage: Eukaryota; Metazoa; Chordata; Actinopteri; Clupeiformes; Clupeidae
Exons: 2
Source: RefSeq, a predicted model, not a curated record
UAGCCCAACUGUGUGCCUAUGUCUGUAUGUCUAUCUGCUUGCUAGUCACAGUUGUCAUUGAUUGCCGGUCUUAAUUCUUAAUUUUACACAUUUCUUAUGGCUAAUUUCAGAGAGAAAAUAAGUGCAGAUUGGAAAACGCAGUCCAGAUGCUUUCUGGGAAUUAUCCAACACAAGAGGAACCACCCAACUCAUUUCCGGUCAUCAGCCUCCACGAUGCAGACUCCCCUCCUUGCCAGGAGAGCAUCCAUUAUGAUGGAUGGCAUCACCAUUAUAAGCGGCGAGAUGGAUGUGGCACAUGCCAUUCAAUGUCUGCUGGAGAUGUACUUCGUCAUUGGUGUGGAGUACCCCCGGCAGAUCAAGCAUACCCUUAGCUUUUCAGAGCAUUAUCUUUUCAAAAUACAAAGUUAAAAAAAAGUGUCCAUCCCUGUUCUGAAAUUAUAUAACCAGAUUAGUUCAUCACUGUUACUGUUGAGUUUUUAAAUAAAAAAAUACAGUCCAUUUUUGAA